This 809-nucleotide ribosomal RNA is filed under the name Hepatozoon felis. RNAcentral describes it as "bacterial SSU rRNA". It matches the Rfam family "Eukaryotic small subunit ribosomal RNA", at positions 188 to 984 of the family's 1831-position model. The record is from RNAcentral. Lineage: Eukaryota; Apicomplexa; Hepatozoidae.
AAUUUUGGAAGAGAUGCAUUUAUUAGAUAAAAAACCAAUACAUACUUUUUCAAGUAUGAAAUUUGGUGAUUUACAAUAACUUAGCAAAUCGCAUAGUGAAAACAGGCGAUAAAUCAUUCAAGUUUCUGACCUAUCAGCUUUCGACGGUAUGGUAUUGGCUUACCGUGGCAGUGACGGUUAACGGGGGAUUAGGGUUCGAUUCCGGGGAGGGAGCCUGAGAAACGGCUACCACAUCUAAGGAAGGCAGCAGGCGCGCAAAUUACCCAAUUCUAACAGCAUAAGAGAGGUAGUGACAAGAAAUAACAAUACAAGGCAGUUAAAAUGCUUUGUAAUUGGAAUGAUAGAAAUUUAAACACUUUUUAAAGUAUCAAUUGGAGGGCAAGUCUGGUGCCAGCAGCCGCGGUAAUUCCAGCUCCAAUAGCGUAUAUUAAAAUUGUUGCAGUUAAAAAGCUCGUAGUUGAAUUUCUGUUAAAAAUAACCGGUCUGCUUUUAAUAAAAGUGGUAUCUUGGUGUGUUUUUAGCAAUAAUGUCCUUUGAAAUGUUUUUUACUUUAUUGUAAUAAAUAAUAUUCAGGAUUUUUACUUUGAGAAAAUUAGAGUGUUUCUAGCAGGCUAACGCUUUGAAUACUGCAGCAUGGAAUAAUAAAAUAGGAUUUUAGUUCUACAUUAUUGGUUUUAAGAACUAAAUUAAUGAUUGAUAGGGACAGUUGGGGGCAUUUGUAUUUAACUGUCAGAGGUGAAAUUCUUAGAUUUGUUAAAGACAAACUACUGCGAAAGCAUUUGCCAAAGAUGUUUUCAUUAAUCAAGAAC